This 119-nucleotide small RNA is filed under the name Mixta calida. Its description in RNAcentral is "Histidine operon leader". It matches the Rfam family "Histidine operon leader". Rfam says of the family: At least 6 amino acid operons are known to be regulated by attenuation. In each a leader sequence of 150-200 bp is found upstream of the first gene in the operon. Lineage: Bacteria; Pseudomonadati; Pseudomonadota; Gammaproteobacteria; Enterobacterales; Erwiniaceae. The record is from RNAcentral.
CACCACCACCAUCACCCUGACUAGUCUUUCAGGCGAUGUGUGCUGGAAGACAAUUGAUCUUCCAGUGGUGCAGAGCGCGAUAAGAGCCCCCGGAAGAUCUUCUUCCGGGGGCUUUUUUU